UACGGAGGGUGCGAGCGUUGUCCGGAAUCAUUGGGCGUAAAGGGCGCGUAGGUGGCGGGACAAGCGUGCGGUGAAAGCCUGGGGCUCAACCCCGGGUCGGCCGUGCGAACUGUUUUGCUUGAGCACUGUAGAGGCGGGCGGAAUUCCGGGUGUAGCGGUGGAAUGCGUAGAGAUCCGGAAGAACACCGGUGGCGAAGGCGGCCUGCUGGGCAGUAGCUGACACUGAGGCGCGACAGCGUGGGGAGCAAACAGG
This 253-nucleotide ribosomal RNA is filed under the name uncultured bacterium. RNAcentral describes it as "partial 16S ribosomal RNA". It matches the Rfam family "Bacterial small subunit ribosomal RNA", at positions 524 to 776 of the family's 1533-position model. The record is from RNAcentral.